GGAUUGUGGUUCAGUGGUGGAGUGCUUGUCUAGCAUGCGUGGGGCACUGGGUUCGAUCCUCAGCACCA
Molecule: transfer RNA, 68 nt
Filed under: Marmota monax (woodchuck)
Lineage: Eukaryota; Metazoa; Chordata; Mammalia; Rodentia; Sciuridae
Description: tRNA.Ala
Source: RNAcentral